AGGAAUGGCUACACAUCUCUUAAUCAUGCUCCAGAUGUGGAAAAUCUUAAUUAGUAGAGUGAGAAAGGUAGCUAAGAACAGGAGAGAGUGACAGUUUCUAUAAUGGGAAUCAGCAUUUUUAGUUGUAGUACUCCAGUGUUAAAUAACUAAUGAUAAAACGUUAGAAGAAAAGACAGUAGAUGACACAGACAGGCUGUCUCUGACAGAAGAAUACAGUUCAUCAAAAGUGUCUGCAGGUUGUCAAACUCAGGGAGGUUUGGGGACCCUCUGCGGCUGUCAUGGUCAACAAGAAGAUUUUCUGUCGGGCUCCUCCAUCACUCACCCUGAGGAAAUAAUCACUCACUACAUUCUGCAUGUUCUCAUGAUGGAGCUCUCCAUUUGAGAGAAAAGAGCCAUUUUAUCAAAGGACAAUAUAGCCCUUCUCUGGGUCCACGUAGCUUCCAUUAUCAGACCAUAAUAAAUCAUAUUUAUGUUCUCAGUUAAUAAGACUGAUUACAACGCAGGUUCCAGACGUGGGAAAAGCAAAGCAGAGACAAAGAGAUACAUGUUUCUCACUCCCUGUCUGUGCACAACUGCCACUAGUGCUGAGAGGAGUUAAGUGUCUGCUUCGGAAGACAACAGACCCCAAAGUUGAGUAUUGAAAGCCACCUUAUUAAAAAGGUCUGGACGUUUUUAGCUUCACUGAGUUCAAUUACAUUAAAGUACCAACUUUCUAAAUUAGUACACAAAAGAAAAAAAAAUCAGAUAAAAUAUUGAAAGUGCUUCAGCCAUUAACUGUGUAAUACAGAGGAGCAUGUGAAGGCUGAGGGCUCGGGAUGUGCAGUACGGAUUGUUCGUUCAUAUUAAUUUACCAGUUUGAUGGUGUAACAAAUAACAAUUCCAGGUUAGCAUGCAACACUUAGAGUACUUCUUUGCACUGUCCGUUUAUGGCCUGCUGAGAAUUUUGUUACGCUUGGCUUUUGUUUUCUAAAAGGCUAAAAAGCUUGUGCACUCUGUAUUCUGAUAGUGGUAUUCCGAAAUUUGAAUUUACACACUUCAGAUUCAGCAAGUGAUUGGGGUAUUUUAGUUAUUUGGGGUGGGGUUGGGGGAGGCAGUUGACUUCUUUCUCACGUAUAUGCUUAGGUCUCACAGCAUGCACGUAUGAAGGGUUCUGCUGGUGGAAUAGCCAUUGUUAUAAACUGAAAAAAGAGAACAUUCUCCAUAGUGAAUUUUCAUGGCUAGACUGCUGGAAAGGCACACUAUUGACAGAAUUGCAGACUUCUCUUACUGAAAGAAAACAGUGUUCAGUGUUUCCAAGAAGGAACUUUAGUUCAGACAUGCAUGGAUUCUACUUUUUCUAAGGUAGUUUUUGCUAAUGUUAGAAGUUGGGAGAGUUGAUAAAGUCAGCAAGGUCUAAGAGAUUAACCUCACCAAAUUGAUCAAAACACCCAUGAGGAAAAUUUAUGAACUUAAUUGAUAAGGGUGGGCAUGUACAUAUGGGUGUAUGUGGGCGCCUGUGUGGGGUCCGUGUUUUUUAGGCUACCUCUCUGUUUCCUGAAAUUCAAAGCCGAUUGAGAUGGAGUUCCCUCCUCCUAGAUCACGGCUUUCUCUGUUGCCAAUUUCUUUGUUCUAUUUUAACAUAAAUGGAGGAGGGAAAGAGCAAUUGGUCCCUUGUCAUUCACAUUGUCUGACUUCCACAAAAAUAACUGCCAAGACUUCUGCUGCGUCUUUUCUCCGAUUUUAGCCCUCACUCCAUUUUUCUUUUCCUAGGCUGACCAAAAAAUAUUGCCUGCAAGAGGAUUCCAGAAUGCCACCAUGUAUCUAAUAUCUAUGAGGAGUUCUGUUUUAGCGUCACUAGACUUACCCACAGAAGACUUUGACAUUGAUAAAGAAUCUGUCAAGUCUAGCCUGAUCAGUGCGCUGAAAUCACUCAUGACAGGGAAGAUACCAACUACCCUCCGUCCCCAAAGCAGUGGUAGAUUAGGGGAAAAAUGAUUAGCGGCUUCCUGGUUGUGAAGCCGUUUCAUGUUAGACCAUAUACUGAGCCAAAUGUGUUUUACUUGUCACACUCCAUUAGCAUGUGUGAAACAGUUGGGGAAAUGGCCAUAUGAUUAGACAGAAGGAAACCUGGAUUCUUCACAUUGGGACUUGUUACCACUGAAUAAUGUCGUUGCAGGAGGGAUUGGUUUGGAUUUCGUUAAUUUCUUGUGUGUUAGAAAAUAAGUGGCAUUUGUGGAUAGAAUCUACUAAGGUCGACCACAAACAGUUCCUGUAAAUCUAGCCCAUUUUAAGCAUUUAAAAAAAAAAUAAGCCCUGGUGAAAUCCACAAUUUUAUUGGCAAAAACUUUCAUUGAUAAUUUGACUCAGAAAAUUCCCUCCCUUGAUCCCCCUGUAGGGAACCCAUAGAUUACAUUUUCCCAGGGCCUCAACUGUCUUUCUGUGGCUGAGAAGCAAGCAGAGGAUUGGUUUCAGAUGAGGAUUGACUGCAGGAGGAGUUCUUACCUGGACAGGAUCUAAAUCCAGGUGUAGAUAGUUUACAUUUAAAAGAUUUUGUUGUUGUUUUGCUGGUUUCGGUCGUUUGCUUCUAGGGAGAAUGUCCGUGCCAAGAGAGCUUUAAGGAGGAGAAGAUAAGGAGGACUUGGGUAGGAAGGAAAUUCCAAUGAUGCUUAAAGCUCCCUGACUUCUGUACUGUAAGGGAAAGGACAGAGGAGGCCGAGUUUUCCUCCUGGGGGCCAUCUGUUGAAAACCCACAAUGAGUGAAAGAAAAUCUAUUAUGGAGAGAAAGAUAGCUUUCUUGAAGACUGCCUGCCUAAUUACAUAUGUAUGAGCGCUACAACUCCUUAGAAUGAGAUCUUGUCCCACAUAUGAUUGGGGAAUUAUUAAAUGUUGACUAUUAAAUAUUUUAGUUAGUUUCACACUGUGUUUAUUUCUCCAGAAUGAUGAAUAUGCAGAUUUAAAAUGGAAUUUCUUCGUUCCCAAGAAAAUGAUGAAGCCAAGUCCUUGACGAUGUCUAGCUUUUACAGAUGGGCCCUCUGUGACUCACCACGGCAGGCAGCCGCAUGUGUCAAGAAAAACCACAUCGCCUCCCACCUCCGAGCAAGGGAGCCUGUGUGCAUGGGGAAACUGCACCAGAUCUGGUGAUGGUCCCUGGGUGCUGGUGCAGCACUGUGACCUGAUGGAGUCAUGGGUAACAGCUCUCCAGCUCCAGACCUGAGCAGGGGCAGCAAACGGACGAGACUGCCAACAAAGGGCAAGAACAAAAGGGGCACGGGAUAGAGGUUUCCGCCCCUAGACAGACCAGCAUGGUGGGCAGUAAUUAGUCGAAAACACCCACCGCUGUUUUUCUUGAGCGUGUUCAGCUUGUCUGGCUGCUAAAGCUUCAGAGUUGGUCCAGGAAUUCAAUGCAGCCCUCCCUAGUGACUACACAGAACGUGUUUGCCGUGUUGAAGGCCAGCCCAGGACUAAUUUUGAAAAGUAAAUCUGGGAAACAGCUUAAUUUCAUUUCCCUAGAGAUUUUUCCUGGGACAGAGUGAGAAGGGAACACAAGUUGAACAAAAUAGCAGUUAAAGGCAGAGGGCUACUUUGAGGAAAAGUCUCCUACAUCAUCCUUGUUCCCCAAUUUCUGUCCUCUGAAGGACGUUGAACAGAUUUUUCAGUAAACAAUAGUGAUUUUUGAUGCUACACUGCAAUGUUUUACAACCCCUGUGAUGCUGGUAUGAACUGUAGAGUCUUUAAAGUGUCUUCUUCAACACCAAGGAAAAAGGCACCGUCAACUGUACACAGCGACUUUUGCUUUGUGAUCCCAUUGGUGUUUACUGAGCACUUACUGUGUACCAGGCACCAUGACUCAGAGUUGGGUCCCCCCAUUCCUGUGCUCUUCUUGUGAUUCACACUCUUCCUCAGAAGGACUGAAAGAGUUAGUGAACCAAAGUCAGUACUUUUGACUUUGGGAUUCUCAAGUCGAAAAUGGCUAUUUUGGCAAAAACUCUACAAUAUGAAUAUAAAUGAAAGGCAUACUUACUUUCCUAGAGGAGUCAAUAUAGAGUGGUGUAUACUGUAAGAGCUCAGACUUCAGAGUUUCAUGUUCUGGUUGAAACAAACACUGACUUUGUUGCUUUCUGGUUAGUUUGUUCUGAAGCAAGUUACUGUUUUAAGUCUCGAUUUUCUCGUCUAUAAAAUGGUCAUAAUAAUUUUAUUUAUUUUCUUAGCGUUGUUGUGAGGAUUACAUGCAUGUGAACAGUUGGCACAAGGAAAGCCAGAUUAAAACAUGGACCCUCAGGGCAGCUGUCUAGGAUCAACGUUUAAGGGAUGCCAAACACCUAGAAAUAAAUUACAAAAAUGGUACCAGUAACUCAGGUUUCUAUACAUGAUCCUGAUGUAUCUGGCCAGAUGGAGUUGACCUCGUUCUACAGAGGACAGUGCCCUUCAGAGGAGAAAACAACAACAACAAAACCCUGAUUGGCUAGUGUUGUUGGUCCAAACAGAUCCUGCCACCACCUGCCCUAAGACCAGCACUUACAGCUAGCUGCAAAUCCGAGAUCUAGUGAUGCUUGUCUUACAACUGCCUUCUGGAGAAUUAUACUUUUCUCUAAAUUAGAAUCCUGAUACCAGGCUUCCCAAGCAGUUGUCUCGGUAAAGAAUCAUAAAGGAAAACCAGAAUGAACACACGGGAAACAUGCCGUCCAUCUGAAAGUCAGAGAAAUUAGAUUUUUAAGCAAAAUCUGAACAAGAUUUUACAACUCUAUCAAUAUAAGUUAUCUCUACGCUUUGAAAGGAAUACUCUUCAGUUAGGAGAGUAAAAAUCAGUGAAAUGGAAGGCAAUUCUAAUUAAGUUAAAACGUUUCGGUGCCUGAAAUGAUUCUCUUUUGUUUUGAACAUCAGAAAAGAUGUAUAUAAAUUAUAUUAGUAGAAAAUCAGUUUGUCUCCCUCUCAGCCAGUGACGAUUGGUCAAUGGGAUAUCGGCUGGUAGGGACACAAAUUGUGAUCCCACCAUAGCUGCCCAGGUCCUGUUGCUCUGAUCACAGCGUCUAUACAGAGUAGCUCUCAAUAAGCACUCGCCAUUAGAGUCUAAGCAUUUGCAGGCAGCAUAACCUAUUUUAAAGCAUCUGAUUAUGAACUCCUGAGAAAAUAUUGCUUGGAACUUCAGGACUUCAUAUCCGUAACAGAAAGACAAAGGAAGAAACGGCUGUUUGAGCUCUGAUUCUUGGAACUCUCUGGCUGACCUGGCCUCUGCAGCCCCAUCUCUCUCUCUUCCUACUCAUUCUGCGUCCUUCCUUUUCUCCUUCUGUCUCUCUUCAUGCUGUUUGCACCUGACCCAGUGCCUGGUACGUGGCCUCAGGUGUGCUAGAUUUCUUUUUCCUUCUUGUCUUUUUCACCUCUCCUACCUUCUACUCAGGACACUGGUCAAUACGCUUCUGAAUAGUGAAUGGUUCAAGAAAAUGGUCUCUCUUCCCUGAAUCUGCACGUGAGCUCCCUUGGUGGUGGUUUUAUCUAGCUGUUUCAUGUGAGUAAGGUGAAUGUUGGUGGCAGAACAGUGACCUGGGAGGGGGGGGGGUCAGAAAGAGAGGUUCCAGAUCCCUGCCUGCCUUAGCCAGAUCUUCACAUGGGUGAGAGGAUGAAAUGCAAUUAAUAGGCAGAUCUCCUGGACAAUAGAAUCUCUAGAACCAAAACAAGGGGACUGAAUUGGAUCCAUAGUUAAAAGUUUUCGAAGGAGUAAAACCCUUUUCUACAAACAGGAUUUCAUUUAAAAUGCCAAUAGUAGAUCAGAUUUGGCAGGAGAGAUUCUAGAAGGAGACCUGGAACUCCGAGUUCACCUGUUCAGCUUCUUAUGACCUAUCCUCCCCGCCACCCUCCCAGUCCCCCAGCUCUCUGAUGAUCUCCAAGAUGCAUUUUGAUCCAAGGUGACUCUAAUAGUGAGCAAACUACCUGAGAGUGGACAUUGAGCCUUAUUUCUUCUCAUUCCUACUCCCUUCCCUGCCCUCCAGUGCUUAGGAGAAUACUAGAUAUAUGUAAGCAGUUCAUAUUUAUUUACUUCAGUCAACUUUUGGGUGACUAGAAAAUAAUAAGAAAAGUAUUACUGUAUGUGGUUACACAGAUUUAGCCUAUUUGACCAGUAUUUCCAAGCUUGUUCAAGGGUUUUCACUAUGAAAUGAUUAAAAACCGGGGAACAAUUUCCAAGGAAAGUGACCACUUUUAUUCCAGGAUGUUCUGAGCAUUGCACUAGGAGGAGAUUUUUGGUUCAGGUGGUUCUUGGUUCACAGUUUCCCCUUCUCCAGGAUUGGCACCAAAAGGGUCUCUCAGGGUUUUUCUGGGCAACAUGACUGUCUCCUCCCUGAGCCCUGGCUCUUGUUUAUUGGUCUAGGAGUGGACAAUAACCCCAAACAAGACCAAUCAAAAUCUUUCCCUGGGGAUUUCUAAAUUGGAAUCAAGACAAGAUGAUCUGUCUCUGAGAGUGGCAGUCCCUGGAUGCUGUACUCGGGAGCUUUCUAAGCCGUGUAACCUACUGAGCAAAGGCAGUAGGUCUGGGGGAGAAGACAAGUGUCUGGGGGACAUUCCCCUCAAAGAGGAAUGUCUGAGAGUCAUGGUGGUAUCUAAGCUCCAAUCUCAAGUUGCUUCUCUGUUCCUGCCCUGAUUUCUAAUUUUUGUCCAACAUCUUUCUAAUUCCCUGUUUGACCUAAACUAGUUUGAUUAAAGUCUCUGUCAUUCAACCAAAGGAAUCUAGACUAAUACAAGAGUCUCUGUUUUUCUAAAACUUCUUUCCUUUUUCUUACCUGAUUUCAUAUAUAUUUUUUUAAAUGAUGUUAUCAUUGAGAAGAUUCCCAUACCUUCUCCUCCAUGCCUCUAUUUAAAACCCCAAAUCAUUAUCCAUGCCCAGGAGUUUCAUCUCCACUAGAAAAGCCUUGAACAUCCAGACUUGCUGUGGGUGGCUGCUUGCUGAGACACUGAUGGGGGCCUCUCCUUGUUGGCAUGUUGGAGAGGCCCCCAUCAGUCUCUCAGCAAGAAUUGAGUGCCUCUCAAUACUUAUGAACGGCCUGGUAAUCCCCUGUUCCUUUCCUAUCCUAGGAUGUACCUUCCUUAAUGUACAGUUUCUCCAUUCCCUAUGCCAAACACAACACCUAGGACAUUGUAGGCAAUGUCCAAUUUUACUUUGUUUAUGGAAAAAUGCCUUAUUAAGGUAUUAUAAGGUCUCCUUCAGUAAAAGGUCAUACCUUCUAUUACUGGUGCUAGAAAAGUGUCCUUGCUGUCACAAGAGUAAUACUGCCUCCCUGAAAGGGCAGAGGGGAAUCACUUGGGAGUCUCCCUUAGGUGGCUAACAUGUCUUUGCAUCACUGAAGAUGACUCAAGGGAACUCAGUCUACCAUAGGAGGAAGAUAAGUAAGGAGCUCCAACAUCUAAAAAAGGGGUUGAAUAACUUGGGUUUGACAGUUUCCGAGAAAAACAAAGCAGCUGAACUGCAAAGGCGGAGCCUAAGAAGGAAGGGAGAGAAGGUGGUUCUGGACUCCUGAGGCAGUAGACUCUAGAAAUCAAGACCAGCCCAGUGCCUCUGAGGCUAAUGAGUACCCAAAUAUGCAAGAGGAGAGAGCUGGGUACCAGGAACUGCAUAGCAGGAAGAGAAGUGGGGUAGCCUGAGUUGUGCAGUCAGCACUGAGGACUGAGGAAAUGGUGCCGCCCUUCCUGGGAGAAGCCCAAUGGUCCUGUGCAGGAAUCGGGACCUGGGAGACACUGUUCCUGGAGAAUCAGUUCCCCUCCCUGUCUGACUCUGUAAUCAUCGCUUCUCAGCUGCAGCAACACAUUGCAAGGAAAAAUGGAGGAAGGGUGGUUUGGGCAAGCUUCCAAACUUCCUGGUCCGGCUAUGCAUGAAAAUCUAGGUUUUCCUGGAUGAUUGAUCAGGGAGCAAGGAGUUGUGAGAAAGAGACAUUGGAACAUCCUAUUAAUAAGGAGCUUCUGGCAAUUAAUUAAAAAAAGUAAAAGUACCAUGACCAAAUUUUGUAUUUCCAAUUUUGACAGAUAAUACUAGCUACAUGUUGAGUAAACAAAUGUGUGUUGGGCCCACCCUGUUGGACUGUGUCAUGAAAUUUCAAUAUGUCAAGGAGCCCGCCACUGGUCUGAUACAGCAUGUAAAUGUCCGAUGUUUAUCUGGGUUUUGAACCUUACAGCAAUCCUGUUCAGAUAAGCAGGGACUUUAGCACUAUCUCAUUUUACAGGUGAGGAGGUCAUUGCUAAGAGAGACCGAGCGACUCACCAUGGCUGGAAGGACAGCUAAUGGCAGAGUGCUUUCCACCACCAUGCUGGGGUAUCCCCUGAGGCAGCCGUGGACACCCUGGAAUCUGGAGAACAGGGAGGCCCCGUGCAACAGUGGAGAGAGAGCACUUGGCCCCUGGUCAAGCUUUCCAGCUUCUGGUUCUAUCCAGCAGCUGGCUGGGAAACAGCAGGCAAAGCCCUUUUUAAGGCUUCAUUAGGCUUUUUUGUCAUUUUGGAGGAGAAGCCAAAAGACCUCAAAGGUCCUUUCUAGCAUGAACAUAUCUUGGAUUUAGGGGUACAAAGAAAUAGCUCCCGGGUAUGUGGCUGGGGGAGGCUGCCAGCUGUCCUCCACGAUCUAGUUCUCCCUUUAUUUUUUCAAAAUGAGUCUUCAAUUUUUAGAAGAGUUUCAGAUAUAUAGAAAAGAUAGGAGAGUUCCCAUAUGUAUCAUGGUUCAAUUGCUUCUAUUAUUAAUACCUUAUGCUGGUACAGAACAUUUGCCACAAUUCAUAAACCAGUUUUGAUAUGUUGUUAUUAAUUUUUUGUGGUGGUUGUUUUUCUAGGAUUCCAUUCAGGAAGCCGUAUUUCGUUUAUUACUCUCGUCUCCUUGAGCCACUUGGCUGUGACGGUUUCCCAGACUUUCCUGGCAUUUGAUGACAGUUUUGAGGAGUGCUGGUCAGGUAUUUUAGUGAGUCCCUCAACUGGGAUUCGUAUGAUGUUUUUUGUCAUGGUUAGACUGAAGUCAUGUGUUUUGGAAAAGAGAACCAGAGACCUCAUCACGUCACAUCAAGGGAUCCACACCAUCAAUAGGAAUUAUCACCACUGAUGUUAACCUUGAUUACCUGACUGGAGGUAGUGUUUGUCAGGAUUCUCCAUUGUAAAGUUACUUUUUUUCAUCUUUUCCUUAGUGUUCUUUUUGAAAGAAAGUUACCACGUGAAGCCCACACUUAAGGAGUCAGAAAUUAUGCUGUCUCUUCUUAAGGGUGGAGAACCUAAAUAAAUUAUUUGGAAGGUU
Non-coding RNA from Ictidomys tridecemlineatus (thirteen-lined ground squirrel), 9232 nucleotides. The record is from RefSeq and is a predicted model, not a curated record. Lineage: Eukaryota; Metazoa; Chordata; Mammalia; Rodentia; Sciuridae.